RNAcentral lists this long non-coding RNA (505 nucleotides) under Linum usitatissimum (flax). RNAcentral's name for it is "long non-coding RNA (LUSI_LNC001747)". The record is from RNAcentral. Lineage: Eukaryota; Viridiplantae; Streptophyta; Magnoliopsida; Malpighiales; Linaceae.
GAAUGGCUUACAAGAGCAGCUGAGCAGGUACCCAUUUCCUAAUAGUUAGAUUACCUUACAUAUGUAAAUGCAUCAAAAGCCUCUUGCAUUUACUUUACAGUGGGAGUUAAGCAAGUGCAUAUUAUGAUAUGACCAUAUGUUGAUGAACAAGGGAUUCGGCCUUUAGCAUGGGUAGGAUGUGUUGGAGAGCCAUAAAGAGAAUGGUACUCUUUGUGUACUCGUAUCUCAAUUAUGUUUGACAUUAUUGCUGGCAGUUAAUUGUCUGUACAACAAAAUACAUUCUGAUAGAAUUUAAGAUCAAGGAUCAAGAGAUUUCCAGCUUGUUGACAAAAUGCUUUUGUUUGUAAUUUGAAUGACUCAGACCUCAUUUUUCACCCUUAAUGUUGAGAUUCUUGCAGCAAAGAGCUUGUGAUUUAGUGUCAUAGCCAUGGCCGGAAUUGAAGUAGCCGAAGUUGAAGCUUUGAAUCCUUGAUCAGGCACUGAAGGCAAGGGAUGCUCGUUUCCA